CCGCGGUGGGUUGGCAUGGGCGAAGCCUGAUCCAGCCAUGCCGCGUGUGUGAAGAAGGUCUUCGGAUUGUAAAGCACUUUAAGUUGGGAGGAAGGGCAGUAAGUUAAUACCUUGCUGUUUUGACGUUACCAACAGAAUAAGCACCGGCUAACUUCGUGCCAGCAGCCGCGGUAAUAA
RNAcentral lists this ribosomal RNA (177 nucleotides) under uncultured bacterium. RNAcentral describes it as "partial 16S ribosomal RNA". It matches the Rfam family "Bacterial small subunit ribosomal RNA", at positions 349 to 526 of the family's 1533-position model. The record is from RNAcentral.